CGGACGGGUGAGUAACGCGUGGGUGACCUGCCCCAUACCGGGGGAUAACAGCUGGAAACGGCUGCUAAUACCGCAUAAGCGCACAGAGCUGCAUGGCUCAGUGUGAAAAACUCCGGUGGUAUGGGAUGGGCCCGCGUCUGAUUAGGCAGUUGGCGGGUAACGGCCCACCAAACCGACGAUCAGUAGCCGGCCUGAGAGGGCGACCGGCCACAUUGGGACUGAGACACGGCCCAA
This 234-nucleotide ribosomal RNA is filed under the name uncultured bacterium. Its description in RNAcentral is "partial 16S ribosomal RNA". It matches the Rfam family "Bacterial small subunit ribosomal RNA", at positions 99 to 334 of the family's 1533-position model. The record is from RNAcentral.